CAUCCGAGUCGGGUGCAUAUUGCGAUGGGUCCUCCUAAUGGGCCUUGUUGAAUGGGUUGUAAAGGAGUGAGUAGGUGAGGCAUGUCGAACCCAAUGAGCAGUAGUGGCUUCGCUGAUAGGCUUAAUCCAUCUGCGGAGAAGGCAUUGGAAAUCAGGUAUUUUUCAGAAGGCCUUGAUAGCGAGGACACCUCAACUCAUUUCGUAGGGCUCUGGCAGUGCUCAUCCUGUUGCUCAAAGGAGCAGAUACCUGUCCUGCUGUUUCCUGGAAUCUCCUCCAUCUCCUUGAGACUGUGCUGAGAGACGCAGCACACCUUCUGACAAUGACUCCUGGCGUGGCUUCACCGGCGCACCGAACGUUCAGCAUGAAUGCGGUCGCUCUGGGUGUGGAUUACGCAAGCAGUGAUUCAGGCGGUGCCACAAGUUUCUGCUGUCACUCAUCUACUUUCAUUUGAUCGGGUGUUUUAUCGUCGUGUUCAUCUACUGGCAACUGAAUAUAUGUCAAUUUAAGAUUUUACGGCGGCACGGAGAUACUCAGAUAAAACACAAAUAAAUGGAAGAAUAUGGCUUAGCUGCCAAAUAUGG
Molecule: long non-coding RNA, 582 nt
Organism: Brienomyrus brachyistius
Lineage: Eukaryota; Metazoa; Chordata; Actinopteri; Osteoglossiformes; Mormyridae
Exons: 3
Source: RefSeq, a predicted model, not a curated record